UUGCAUUCUAUAACAAUUUUUUUCAAAUUUAUUGAAACGCAAUGAAAUAUUCGGUUACACCUCAAUGUCCCGCCACAAUGCAUUUUUUAAUAAAAAAGGGCAUUUCCGUCUGCCCCAAUUUUUUAUUAAAAAAUUCAAGGCCAAGUAUCCAACAUCAUAAACAUUUCACAGCUCUCGGUCACAACACAAAGUAGCUACGACAAAUUAUUGCAAACAUGGAGGAAUUUAAAGUCUUGGGCUAAGAUAGAUGGAUCAGUGCCAAGCUAUCCUAAGCAGCUCCCUACAGCGAUGACUAGGCAGCCGGAGACACUCAAGAAGCCGCGUAGCUUGGGCACCGACGUAGAGCACCUUCCAAAGUCAAACCAGUGCGCCUACCGAAGCCAGGAUGCAUUUCAUACUUCGCCACCUUCGACUCUGAAAGACAAAAUCAUCACGAAAACGCCAUAAGCCCACAAGGUAGCAACAGUAAAGAUGUUAACAACUUCAUAGUGUUUUUCUUUGUUUCCAGAAAGGAACUAGGUCAUCAAAAGACUAGGAAUUGAAAUUGAGAUAUUGGGAGUAUCAGCAAUCACAUUCCAAAUAUUUUUUUGCAACAAUGCAAACAAAAAAGUAGAUGAUGGAUCGAUUCUAGCUCAUUACAAAAGACACAUGUCAGAUCAUCAACAUGUCUAUGUUUAGCCAAGUUGUCUCGAGUAGACUCUUGUUAUUAAUAAUGAGCUACAACAAAACAUGUACUCCCUCUGUCCCAAAAUUCUUGUCUUAGAUUUGUCCAGAUACGGAUGUAUCAUACAUCCGUAUCUAGACGAAUCUAAGACAAGAAUUUUGAUACAUCCGUAUCUAGACGAAUCUAAGACAAGAAUUUUGAUACAUCCGUAUCUAGACGAAUCUAAGACAAGAAUUUUGGAACAGAGGAAGUAUAUUAUAAGGAACCUUAAUCUUCCAUAUAGCAUCUCUCAGUUCGGAAGAGGAACCCAAUUUCGGAAUCUAAUUGAGUAGGAACCAGAAGGUUGAAGCAACUAAAUGGGAGCAUCACUACCAGAAGUAAGAGUUACAAUUUUGACCAAAUUAAGCAAAUCAAACCACUGACCCAUGAGUACUUCAUCAACACAUCUCCUAAAGGAUAUCUUAUGAGAAGUACCAUCCCACACUUGGGCAACAGAAGCAUUUUAUUGUUGAAAAAUCGCAAAUAGAUCCCAAAAUUGGUUUCCAAAGAAGCAUUAACAAGCCAAAUGUCAUGCCAAAAGGAGAUACUUUGCCCAUCACCAAUCUUCCACUUGUAAAAGCUUUUUGCAGAAGCAAAAACCCAAGAGAUACUUUUCCAAAAAGGAGACCCCUGUCUAGGUUUGUCCGACAAAAUGUGGUUUGUCAGUAGCAUACUUAUACUCCAGAAGUUUUUUCAAUCACUGGGUCUACCAUCAAACAAUCUCUUACUCCAAAAGGCCAACAUUGCCAAAUUAAAAUCCCUAAGAUUAGGGACACCCAUACCCCCAAAUUCUUUUUUUCUUCUUCUGGAGAUUAAACCCUAACAAGCAAGAUGGUACUUAUGAUGAUUGCCCAAUUUGCCCUAGAAGAAAUGAGACAUUUGGGAAGUGAUGACAUCAGUGGCCCACUUACGAAACUUCAUGAUAGACAUAAGGUAAGUAGGAAUACUAGCAAUGCACGUGUCGAGGAGGAUAAGUUUACCCCUAUAGGAAAGAUUCCUGUCUAACCAACCAGAGAUGUCUUCAAUAAUUCUGUCAAUAAUAGGUUGUAUGUCUCCUUUUUAAGUUUUUUUUUAAAUGGAGGGGCACACCCAAAUUCUUAAAAGGGAAGGAGCCAAGUUGACAACAGAAAACCUAAGCAAAGCAACUAGUAGCUACAUCAUCAUCUACAUGAAUAGUGUGAAGGUCACUUUUGUGAAAAUUAACUUUGGUGAUAAUACAUGUUUGAGAAUCAUUUCCUUCUAGUAAUGUGAAAUCAAGAGAGUGGCUAGCCAACGUCACAAACAAGCAUCCCCUAACCGACGUUUACCUGCAGCAGCCACCGCCACACAGCCGGCCGGCCCGCCGGCUUGAAAGUCCAGUUCCCUGAUCUCCGUACAGAAUCCCUCCGAUCCACCGAUGGACGGCCACGGGUGGACGCCGCGUCCGGGCUGGACGGCAGCGUCCGUCCGACAGAGGCGACCUGAACGGGUCAAGCCGUUCAUGCGCUGGGCGGGUCAAACCAUGCACGCUCGAGCCUAGACCGACUAGAGACUAGAGCCGAACGACAAGGACCCAUGCGAUUCCACGCCCGCCACCCUGGUACGUAGUCGUACUCUCGAUCACGACGCCCUAAUCGCGCCAGCAAACCGCGUGUUCGCCGGCAAGCCGACGGCGCGGGGGCGCGGGCAUAUAUAGCUCGUGCCCCGGCACCUUCUCCUCAGACAGUCCGUCAGUCAGUCAUCAGCCACUGACGAGCCAUUUCCAACCCUCUCGUGCGCAUCUUCCACGAGAGCAUCAGCAAAGCAAGAAUAAAGGCAGCUAGCAGCACGAACAACGGCGGCUAGCGGCUGAAGGAGGGGCCGAUGGAGAUCGUGAGGAUGGGGAGCUCGGCGGGGGGCGGGAGCGGCGUGCGGCGGACGGCGUCGUCGUGGCGGGGGACGUCCGGGAGGAGCGACGCCUUCGGGCGGUCGGCCAGGGAGGAGGACGACGAGGAGGCGCUGCGCUGGGCGGCCAUCGAGAAGCUCCCCACGUACGACCGCAUGCGCAAGGGCAUCCUGCUCCCGGGCGCCGUCGCCGGCGUCGGCGGCGCCGGGCAGGAGGUGGACAUCCAGGGGCUCGGCCUCAACGAGAGGAAGAACCUCAUCGAGCGCCUCAUACGCACCGCCGAGGAGGACAACGAGCGCUUCCUCCUCAAGCUCCGCGACCGGAUGGAGCGGUGCGUCUCAGCUCAGCUCAUCACCUCGCUUCUGUAGCUCUGUCCAUCCAUUUCUCUCUCGGCACGACGGGCGCUGAUGUUUGAUGUGCUUGGCAGGGUUGGGAUCGAGAACCCGACGAUCGAGGUGCGGUUCCAGAACCUCAACAUCGACGCCGAGGCCUACGUCGGCAACCGGGGAAUCCCGACGUUCAUCAACUUCUUCUCCAACAAAAUCAUGGUAUGCAUCUUCGGCGCAGCAGCUUCAUGAUCCUUCAGUGUCAUGGAAUGGGAGAACCCAACAAAGUUCACGCCGAGUGGUUCCGACUUCAGCUUCUGAUCCUUGUUUGUUUCAAUCCUUCAGAAUGUGCUGAGUGCUCUGCGCAUCGUGUCAAGCGGGAAGAGGCCCAUCUCUAUCAUCCAUGACAUCAGCGGAAUCGUAAGACCCGGCAGGUGAGCGAGAGGUCACGGGCCUGUUUGUUUUGCAUCAUCUCACAGUUCUUUCCAUGUUUUAAUCGUGUGGAGUUUCUUCAGAAUGUCCUUGUUGCUUGGCCCCCCUGGGUCCGGAAAAACUAGUCUACUCCUGGCCCUGGCAGGGAAGCUGGACUCAACUCUCAAGGUACCCCAUCUUCACAUCCUUUCGUGAUUCUGAGUACUCUGUUUUUCGUUCGAUACAGAAAUUUGCAAUAUGAUCAGGGAAGAUAUAGAGAUGUAAGUUGUAACAUGAUGAAUUUAAAAUUGGAAAUGUUCAGGUGUCAGGGAGAGUGACUUACAACGGGCAUGACAUGCAUGAAUUUGUCCCCCAGAGGACAUCAGCGUACAUCGGGCAGCAUGACCUUCACAUCGGCGAAAUGACGGUGAGGGAGACACUGGCCUUCUCUGCGAGAUGUCAAGGAGUCGGAACCCGUUACGGUAAGUGACAUGGGAGCUGGAAAAAGGGAUAUCUUGCUAUUCACAAAUUGCAAAGUGAUUCUUAUCGUGGUUUCAAAUUGCAGACAUGCUUACUGAACUCUCAAGAAGGGAGAAAGAAGCCAACAUCAAGCCAGAUCCUGACAUUGAUGUCUACAUGAAGGUGAGCAGUUAUUGCAUAUACACUGUGAAUCAAGAACCUUAUUUAUUUAGAAGUAAACGGUAUUGCCUUUCUGAAGUAAAUAGAAACAAACUACAGUUACUAAGUUAUUCUGCUCCUCUAUCCAAACAGGCCAUCUCUGUGGAAGGUCAAGAGAGCGUGAUCACAGAUUACAUCCUCAAAGUGAGCACCAUACAUAACAUGAAAAAUAAGCCAAAAAAAUGCAUAUGCCGCUGACACACUUGCAUUUUUCGUUCAGAUUUUGGGUCUGGAAAUCUGUGCAGAUACAAUGGUUGGGGACGGUAUGAUCAGAGGCAUCUCAGGAGGACAAAAGAAGCGUGUCACCACAGGUAUAUGCAAUAUGCAGUGAAGGAAUAAAUGCGCAUAAUGAUGCCCUUUUGAUCAUGACAGUGAAAUCAGAUCUCUAACAUCAUUGAAAUUUAAAUAGGCGAGAUGCUUGUCGGGCCAGCAAAGGCACUGUUUAUGGAUGAAAUCUCCACCGGUUUGGACAGCUCCACAACGUACCAGAUCAUCAACUCCCUCAGGCAAUCUGUCCACAUCCUCGGUGGCACGGCAUUGAUCGCGUUGCUUCAGCCUGCGCCUGAAACAUACGAGCUCUUUGAUGACAUUGUUCUGCUCACCGAGGGGAAAAUCGUGUACCAGGGUCCUCGAGAAAGCGUCCUUGAGUUCUUUGAGGCCGUCGGAUUCAGAUGCCCUGAGAGGAAGGGUGUUGCAGACUUCUUGCAAGAAGUAUGUGAUACACAAGAGCUCUCUGUGCUGCACGUUGGGACUAGGAACUCAAAAUUUGACCGUGUUUAUCAUGAAUUCACAGGUAACAUCUAGGAAGGAUCAGCACCAGUACUGGUGCCGAAGUGACGAGCCAUACCGAUACAUCUCGGUCAACGACUUCACGGAGGCAUUCAAAGCAUUCCAUGUUGGCCGUAAGAUGGGCUCGGAGCUCAGGGUGCCGUUCGAUCGAACCAGGAACCACCCUGCUGCGCUCACGACUUCCAAGUUCGGUAUCAGCAAGAUGGAGCUUCUGAAGGCAUGCGUCUCUAGGGAGUGGCUGCUGAUGAAGAGGAACUCGUUUGUUUACAUCUUUAAAAUAGUUCAGGUAUGCAUCCCGCUUGUUGAAAUUUUCCUCAAUUCUGAAUUCGGAUAGUGAUGUCUGAUGAAUGUUAUGUGUUUGUACCAGCUCAUAAUCCUUGGGACCAUCGCAAUGACUGUCUUCCUGCGUACGGAGAUGCACCGGGACUCAGUCGAGGAUGGAGUGAUCUACAUGGGCGCGAUGUUCCUCGGCCUGGUCACGCAUUUGUUCAAUGGAUUCGCCGAGCUCGCCAUGAGCAUUGCAAAGCUGCCUAUAUUCUACAAGCAGAGGGACCUGCUCUUCUAUCCAUCAUGGGCGUAUGGAUUGCCUACAUGGCUGCUCAAGAUCCCGAUAUCAUUCCUGGAAUGUGCCGUGUGGAUCUGCAUGACUUACUAUGUCAUUGGCUUCGAUCCAAACAUCGAAAGGUUCUUCCGCCAUUACCUGCUGCUUGUGCUGAUCAGCCAGAUGGCAUCGGGUCUCUUCCGGGUUCUUGCUGCAUUAGGAAGGGAUAUGGUUGUUGCAGACACGUUUGGGUCGUUUGCUCAGCUUGUUCUUCUGGUUCUCGGCGGCUUCUUGAUAGCUAGAGGUAUGUCGAAUCUCCCUCCAUUCAGCCUCUGUUCAUGCAGUUUCAACUGUCAAGAAGAUCAUGCUGAGUUGUGAGUUCCAUUUCUGCAGAUAACAUCAAGGCAUGGUGGAUUUGGGGCUACUGGUGCUCCCCUCUGAUGUAUGCCCAGAACGCCAUAGCGGUGAACGAGUUCCUUGGGCAUAGCUGGAGGAUGGUAAUGCAGCGUCUCCUGGACCCUUGAUCAGUCGAAUUUCAGACAGAUAAUAAAAAAAAUGCCAAUCUUUGCACAGGUUGUUGAUCCGACAGACAGCAAUGACACGCUAGGCGUACAAGUCUUGAAGUCGCGCGGCAUCUUUGUCGAUCCAAACUGGUACUGGAUCGGUGUUGGUGCCUUACUUGGGUACAUCAUGCUCUUCAAUGUACUCUUCAUUGUGUUCCUCGACUUGCUUGACCGUGAGUACCUUCUCCCCAGCCGUAAAAUGCAUUGAUUCGCGCAUCGUUAACAUCUUACGUUGGCGCUGACAUCCUUCUUCUAUCCACAGCACUUGGAAAGGGCCAAAAUGUUGUUUCUGAAGAGGAACUGAUGGAGAAGCAUGUGAACCGCACCGGAGAAAAUGUAGAGUUGCUGCUUCUUGGAAACGAUUCCCAGAAUUCACCUUCCAACGGUCAGUAGAAAUUCUUGCAUAGACUGCAUCAAGGAACACAUUUCCACCGUUGCAUCAUUGUGACAAGUGUAACAAAUGCAGGAGGAGGAGAAAUCACUGGCGCUGACACCAGGGAGAGGGGAAUGGCACUUCCAUUUACUCCCUUGUCAAUCACCUUUGACAAUAUCAGAUAUUCUGUGGACAUGCCUCAGGUAAGCAUAACCAAGAAGUUCUAUCCCGGGUUCAACGCAGCGGCAGCUGGCACUAAUGACAGAUACUAAUUGUGAUGCACAAAUCUUUGACAGGAAAUGAAAGACAAAGGUAUUACUGAAGACCGGCUAGUGCUCCUGAAAGGUGUUAGUGGAGCUUUCAGGCCAGGAGUUCUUACAGCAUUGAUGGGCGUCAGCGGGGCGGGAAAGACCACUCUGAUGGAUGUGUUGGCGGGACGGAAAACUGGCGGUUACAUUGAAGGAGACAUCAGCAUCUCUGGAUACCCGAAGAACCAAGACACUUUUGCCCGGAUUGCUGGUUACUGUGAGCAAAAUGAUAUCCAUUCUCCACAUGUCACCGUUUAUGAAUCCCUCGUGUACUCGGCGUGGCUCCGGUUGUCCCCUGAUGUAGACUCAGAAGCAAGACAAGUAAGUUGAAUGACCUUUAUUCUGCUAGUUCAUAAGUAGCUCAUCUAAUAUGCACACUGCAACUGAUCUCUGGAGUCCAUUUCAUGAAUUCAGAUGUUUGUGGAACAAGUCAUGGAACUCGUCGAGCUGACAUCACUGAGGGGAGCAUUGGUGGGACUGCCAGGAGUGAAUGGUUUAUCCACCGAACAGCGUAAAAGGCUCACCAUUGCUGUUGAGCUUGUUGCCAACCCCUCCAUCAUAUUCAUGGAUGAACCAACUUCUGGACUGGACGCAAGGGCAGCUGCCAUCGUGAUGAGGGCGGUCAGAAACACAGUAGACACAGGAAGAACAGUUGUCUGCACCAUCCACCAGCCCAGCAUCGACAUAUUUGAAGCUUUUGAUGAGGUAAAUUGCAGCAAGGACAAGGAAAUUGUGUGAUCUGUAGAAGUAUUGAUUGUCUCAUGUGAGAACUCACAUGUUAUUCUUGAAUAUUUACAGCUGUUCCUGAUGAAACGGGGAGGAGAAGAAAUUUAUGUCGGCCCCUUGGGGCACAACUCAUGCCAUCUGAUCGAUUACUUUGAGGUGAGGCUCCUUACUGAUCUGGUGAACAGAGCACCCGAUUUCCAGCUUAUGGCAUGCAUGAUAACCUUGCUUGGUGCCCCAACUGUAGGGAAUACAAGGUGUGAAGAAAAUCAAGGAUGGAUACAACCCUGCAACCUGGAUGUUAGAAGUGACCACCCUAGCUCAGGAAGAUGCCUUGGGUGUCAACUUUGCCGAAGUAUACAUGAAUUCUGACCUAUACCGGUAUGUUGCAGUCUCAGAGCGUUGUUUCUGUAUGUUUGUAUACUUCUCCAUCAUUUCACUGAUUCAAAUGCAUCAUGUCAGGAGGAACAAAGCUUUGAUAAGUGACCUAAGCACACCUCCACGUGGAUCGACGGACCUGUACUUCCCAAAACAGUAUGCACAGUCCUUCUUCACACAAUGCAUUGCUUGCCUGUGGAAGCAGCAUAAGUCCUAUUGGAGAAAUCCAUCAUACACUGCAACUAGAAUAUUCUUCACGACGGUUAUUGCUCUCAUCUUUGGCACCAUCUUUUUGAACCUAGGACAGAAAAUGUAAGUACCUUCGCUAACAACUCCAGCUGACACUGAUCCAUAAUGACACAGCGUGAGAAAGAAACUUAUAUGUACUUCAUCUUUACUUUCAGCGGCAAGAGGCAGGACCUGUUCAAUUCUUUGGGUUCCAUGUAUGCAGCAGUUAUUUUCAUUGGAAUUCAGAAUGGCCAAUGCGUUCAACCUAUUGUCGACGUCGAGCGAACAGUUUUUUACCGAGAAAAAGCUGCUGGCAUGUACUCUGCUCUACCCUAUGCUUUUGCACAGGUAAUGGUCGUUGCAGAAUAUUUGAAACGAAAAGAUUGAACUUUUGCUCCUUCAACUUUUUUUUUACAAAAUCUAAUGAUGUUAACCAUUCAACAGGUUUUCAUUGAGAUCCCACAUGUCUUCCUACAGACCAUUAUUUAUGGUCUGAUUGUUUACAGCUUGAUUGGCUUGGACUGGGCAUUUAUCAAAUUCUUUUGGUACAUCUUCUUCAUGUUCUUCACUUUCCUGUACUUCACAUUUUAUGGGAUGAUGGCAGUCGCCAUGACGCCAAACAGCGACAUUGCUGCCAUAGUCGCAACUGCAUUCUAUGCAGUAUGGAAUAUCUUUGCCGGUUUCCUAGUCCCCCGACCAGUAAGUGUCCUAUGACUGGUUUAUUUGUAGUGAACCAACCUGUACAUUUUCUCCAUACUGCCGAUGCUAAACUAUAUGUGUCUUGUCUGGCUUGCAGAGGAUACCAAUAUGGUGGAGGUGGUACUCAUGGGCAUGCCCGGUGGCAUGGACACUCUACGGGCUUGUUGCCUCACAAUAUGGAGACAUUGCAGACGUUACGCUGGAGGAUGGGGAACAAGUGAACGCUUUCAUCCACAGAUUCUUUGGAUUCAGGCAUGAUUACGUAGGUUUUAUGGCUGCCGGUGUUGUAGGAUUCACUGUUCUCUUCGCUUUCGUUUUUGCCUUCUCCAUCAAAGUCUUGAACUUCCAAAGAAGAUAGAGAGGCUAUCUGAAAACAGCUUCAGAUCUCGCUAUAGCUAAUAGAGUGUUGGCACUUGGCAGUAGGGAACACAGGAAAGUAAGUUUAGAGACGGAAUAUUCGGUAUCCGUUUCUUAGGCAAUUAACGUAUUUCUUAGAUCAGUAGUUCAAUUAUGUAUAUAUACUGUAUAUUGUAACUAUCAGAGAAGGGCCCGUUGUAAUUUUGUAAAGUUCAACAGUUCAAAUAUUUUAUGCAAGAUUGUCUAUCUUUGGUUCAGUUGAUACAUGUUCCCUACGAAAAGCCCAUUACCGACUAACAUGGCCUAAAAGAUGACUUGGCUUAUAUAAUUCCGAAGAAUAUUGUGGGAAACUAAACAAAUUUCCAGUGAAAACUAGCUUCGGAAACUGCUGGUAUAAUCAAGAUUUGUGAAUGGUGAUGCGGUGUGUUUGUGUUCAGCAUACAAAUUACUCGUUCACAAGUACUCCCUCUGUAAACAAAUGUAAGACGUUUUGGCAGUUUAAAUAUCAUCAUAGCACUUAGAAAAUAGAGCCUUAAUGAAACUUAAAAAGAAGAAACUCGCAUUUCAACGACUAACAGGGUGCUGCUAUCUGGCUGAAUGUAUUCACAUUUUCAAUCGUUGAGGUUCUCAAAUCCAGUUACUAUCUUGUUUCGACAACUAACAGGCUAUUGUGUCUCAAAUUGUUUUGUUUACUAAAACUCGAUAAUUUUGGAGCAGCAAACAUGAUUUCAUCAUAGCCCUAAGAAUUCGAAAUAGUAGCAUAAGACUAAUGCUGGUAGAAUCGACACUAGGUAAUCAACUCUGAGAACAGGCAUCCACUGAAGUCCGCCAGAUUCUGCAGAUUUAAGUACGGACUACCUGAAGGAGUGUCGCGGUCCCCUGCAACCCAAUCGAUCCCACCGAC
This 9845-nucleotide long non-coding RNA is filed under the name Triticum aestivum (bread wheat). Its description in RNAcentral is "long non-coding RNA (TAES_LNC010165)". The stretch from base 729 to 921 matches the Rfam family "MIR1120/MIR1122 microRNA precursor family". Lineage: Eukaryota; Viridiplantae; Streptophyta; Magnoliopsida; Poales; Poaceae. The record is from RNAcentral.